This 442-nucleotide ribosomal RNA is filed under the name uncultured bacterium. RNAcentral describes it as "bacterial SSU rRNA". It matches the Rfam family "Bacterial small subunit ribosomal RNA", at positions 958 to 1398 of the family's 1533-position model. The record is from RNAcentral.
AACGCGAAGAACCUUACCUGGGCUCGAAUGUAGUGGAAUCCGGUAGAAUAUCGGCGUCUAGCAAUAGACCGCUAUAUAGGUGCUGCAUGGCUGUCGUCAGCUCGUGUCGUGAGAUGUUGGGUUAAGUCCCGCAACGAGCGCAACCCUUAUCGUUAGUUGCCAGCGCGUAAAGGCGGGAACUCUAACGAGACUGCCUGGGUUAACCAGGAGGAAGGUGAGGAUGACGUCAAGUCCGCAUGGCCUUUAUGUCCAGGGCUACACACGUGCUACAAUGGUCGGUACAGAAGGCAGCGAAACCGCAAGGCGAAGCAAAUCCUGAAAAACCGAUCUCAGUUCGGAUUGUAGUCUGCAACUCGGCUACAUGAAGUUGGAAUUGCUAGUAAUGGCGUGUCAGCAACAACGCCGUGAAUACGUUCCCGGGCCUUGUACACACCGAGACGAC